UAUACGGUUCUAUGGAAAUGUUCAUACUUUUCUAUCCGAGAUAAACAAGUAUGAGAAUAACAAAAUCGCGCAACAAUUAAAUUUAGCUGGCUCAAAAAGAGAAAUUAAUUGUUUGUUAUAUUUUUUUUAGAGAAGAAAAGAAAAUCUUUCCUUUCAAACGAUAUGUAAUAUCUACAAUAAAUUAUAUAAUGAAUAUUUCAAUAUAUAAAUAAAUUUGCCACAAUAAUAACUAAAUUGUAUUACUAUUAAAAUAUUGUCUAUUUAAUUAAAGUAUUUGCCAUACGGUGGUGUAAUAGACGAUAUUUUGAGAUAAACAAAAACGUGGUUACUCUAGGUUUCCUAAUAUCACUGAUUAAUUUUGAUUCAAAGCGCUUAUUUUUUAGACAUCAGACGUCAGUUGCAGUAUUUUUCAAGUGUUGUUAAUUUUGUGGUACAUUUAGUCUUAAAAUAAUUACAUCAUAUACGAAAUGUCUACCGAAAAUUUACGACGAUCUUCACGACUAAAAGUAAGAAAACCUAAAAGGUAUAUGUCAUCCAAUUCAGAUGAAAAUUUGGAUGAUAAUCCAGUAAAUGCAGUAGAAAAUGAACUCAGAGAUGUAGAAGAGAAUGUACAAAAGCCAGUUGAAUUAUUUUCAAGUGAUGAUGUAAGCGGACAGGCAUUAUAUAAAUUCCAAACACCUAGUAGAAAAGAUGCUAUGACAAAGAAGGCACAUUUAUGUCGUACACCUAUUAAUGAUGUUCCAUUACCCAUAGCUAAAGUUGUUCUUGAAAAGAUAAAUGUUUGUAAUAAAGAACAACCAAAAACAUCAAAGAAAGACCAGAAAAUUUCAAAAAUUCCUGUUAUUCAAAGAAAAUAUGAAUCUGGAUUAACAUCAAGUGAAAGUGAGAGUAUAUCUGAAUCUAGUGAUUAUCAUCCAUUUGAAGAUACUGAAGAAACAACCGAUAGUGAGGAUGUAGUAUCUAGUAAUGAUGAAAAAGAUCAGAUGAAAACAAGGAACCAAAAGCAAAAAUUUAUAUCACAGUCACAUUUAUUGAAUACACCAAAAAGAGUAACUAGAAAAAAUAAACCUUCAAUUAUUCAUAAAGAUUUUCAUAUGCAAACUGAUGAAUACUUUGCAACACAAUCAGAAAAGGUAGUUACAUCCGAUCGGACGUUAGAACAUCUACGUAAUUCUCGUUUAACAAAAGAAAAAUUGGAAAAAUUGUUAGCAAAUCAAAGUCAUGUAUCUUUACAACAUAAAAAGAAUAUUUAUUCAGUAACUAAUAACUACUCUACGCUGUUUCCUAUGUGGUAUUUUAUUAUGGAGCAAGGCUAUACUGUAUUGCUUUACGGCUUAGGUUCAAAAAGAUGUUUAAUCAAUGAUUUUUAUAAAAGUAUAUCUUAUCAUCCAUCACUAGUAGUAAAUGGAUUCUUUCCUAGUUUAACUAUGAAAGAUAUACUUGAUGGUAUAAUUAUUGACUUAUUGGAGUUAAGUUGUCCUAGCAAUACAACUGAAUGCAUUGAUCUUAUUGAAAAAACUUUAAGGAAAAAUCCAAAAGACAGAUUGUAUUUGUUAAUACAUAAUAUAGAUGGUAUGAUGCUACGUUCAAAUAAAGCUCAAGAUUUACUAUCUUGUCUUGCAAAUAUACCAAAUAUUUGUGUUUUAGCAUCAGUUGAUCACAUUAAUGCCCCGCUAUUAUGGGACCAUACAAAACACUCCAAAUUCAAGUUUUUUUGGUGGGACACAACAACAUUUCUAUCUUAUCAAGAAGAAACAUCUUAUGAAAGUUCGCUUUUGGUUAAGCAAAGUGGUGCUCUUGCUUUAUCAUCUCUUCAUAAUGUUUUCCUUUCUCUAACUUCAAAUGCUAAGUCAAUCUAUCUAUUGCUUGUAAAGAAUCAGCUAAGCAACAGUAAUAAUGUUAAUUUUACUGGAAUGGCAUUUAAAGAUCUUUAUCGAGCUGCCCGUGAAGGAUUUCUUGUAAGCUCAGAUUUAGCAUUAAGAGCACAAUUAACUGAGUUUAUAGAUCACAAGUUAGUUAAAAUAAAGCGCAACAUUGAUAGUAUUGAACAUCUUAUCAUUCCAUUAAGUUCUGGACUUCUAAAGCAGUUUCUAGAAGAAUACGAUACAUGAUAUUUUUAACUACCUGUAGCAUAUAAAAUAUGGUAACCUAUAAACACAUUUGCUGUGGCACUGAAGUAAUUACAUUGGUACAAGUGCUUCGAUGUCCUUUAUUUGAGCCGUGCUCAGGCCUCGCUGCCUGAACAAAACGAGCUAUGUCGACGAGGAACAAAUUCGCAGAGAACGUUGGCCAAGAACGUUCGGAUUAUUGGUUCCACGGGAGAAACGAAAGGCAGCGCCGCUUCCGGGAUUGCGCAAGCACACGGCGAUACUGAACGGGAAAGCGCACAAUGGGCGAGAAAAGGCGUGGGUAUACGUAGACGCGACCAUCGAAAUGGUUAUUUUCGACGGUGAGGUCGUCUAGGACGCAUAAAACGAGCGUUCGAGGACAUCCUUCGCGUACACCAACUCUCACUCUGUUCCUCGAUUCUAUGCCAAGCCCACGGGAGACAUAACCCCGUGUGACCUCCGUGAUUUCCUGCUCGACCACCAUAAUCGGGACCAUCCUUUAUGCUUCAUAGAGGAUAUAAAUAUAUUAUGUGAUACACGAUGUUCCAAUGACGACUUGCAAUCAGAACAAAUUUAUGGAAGUAGAUCGUUACUAGAUCGCGGAUCUUUAUGCAGAUUCAUAAUCGAUUAAAUAAAAGCUAAAGAGAGGCUCAUAGUUACUUUGUAGCUACUUCAUGCAAAUUCAUAGUUUUAUGAACGUAAAUGUUUAAAUAAAGCUAAGGAGACGUUUGUUCUAAAGAUUCUAGCAAGUAUGACAGUUUAGAGAUUUUAUAUAUUUCUUAGUGUAUUUUUACAUGUUGCGUAAUUAUCGAUUAUUGUAAAGAACCUGGUAUUCUAUUAACGUAAACAGAACAAUAGUACGAUAGUAUAAACUUGAGCAUUGCAAUUUUAAGUGGUUGAAACAGCGAAUGAAUUAAUUACGUAGCUCGUGUUAUUUUGAGUGAUCCCUUAAUUCAGUCGAAACUCGUCGACAGAUUAAAAUUACUAUCACAGUGAAACUAAAUACGAGAUAAUCUUUGAGUAAUUAAAACGAGAGAUUA
Bombus pyrosoma is the source of this 3148-nucleotide RNA transcript. It is a transcript of the gene named origin recognition complex subunit 2, with no coding region annotated. The transcript is spliced from 12 exons. NCBI's taxonomy places the organism in Eukaryota, Metazoa, Arthropoda, Insecta, Hymenoptera, Apidae. The record is from RefSeq and is a predicted model, not a curated record.